This 253-nucleotide ribosomal RNA is filed under the name uncultured bacterium. RNAcentral describes it as "partial 16S ribosomal RNA". It matches the Rfam family "Bacterial small subunit ribosomal RNA", at positions 524 to 776 of the family's 1533-position model. The record is from RNAcentral.
UACGUAGGGUGCAAGCGUUAAUCGGAAUUACUGGGCGUAAAGGGUGCGUAGGCGGUUGGGUAAGUCUGAUGUGAAAUCUCACAGCUUAACUGUGAAACUGCAUUGGAUACUAUCCAACUCGAGGAAUGGAGGGGAGACUGGAAUACUUGGUGUAGCAGUGAAAUGCGUAGAUAUCAAGUGGAACACCAGUGGCGAAGGCGAGUCUCUGGACAUUUCCUGACGCUGAGGCACGAAAGCCAGGGGAGCAAACGGG